Molecule: ribosomal RNA, 468 nt
Filed under: uncultured bacterium
Lineage: Bacteria
Description: partial 16S ribosomal RNA
Rfam family: Bacterial small subunit ribosomal RNA
Source: RNAcentral
GACGAACGCUGGCGGCGUGCUUAACACAUGCAAGUCGAACGGAAAGGCCCUGCUUUUGUGGGGUGCUCGAGUGGCGAACGGGUGAGUAACACGUGAGUAACCUGCCCUUGACCUUGGGAUAACUUCAGGAAACUGGGGCUAAUACCGGAUAGGAGCUCCUGCUGCAUGGUGGGGGUUGGAAAGUUUCGGCGGUUGGGGAUGGACUCGCGGCUUAUCAGCUUGUUGGUGGGGUAGUGGCUUACCAAGGCUUUGACGGGUAGCCGGCCUGAGAGGGUGACCGGCCACAUUGGGACUGAGAUACGGCCCAGACUCCUACGGGAGGCAGCAGUGGGGAAUAUUGCACAAUGGGCGGAAGCCUGAUGCAGCAACGCCGCGUGCGGGAUGACGGCCUUCGGGUCGUAAACCGCUUUCGCCUGUGACGAAGCGUGAGUGACGGUAAUGGGUAAAGAAGCACCGGCUAACUACGUG